This 306-nucleotide unclassified non-coding RNA is filed under the name Hevea brasiliensis (rubber tree). The record is from RNAcentral. Lineage: Eukaryota; Viridiplantae; Streptophyta; Magnoliopsida; Malpighiales; Euphorbiaceae.
AUGCGAAUGGUGGGUGUCAGGAAGGUAAGACUGGUUUGCAGCCAGCAGUAAUGCCGAAAGAGCCGAUCAUCAUGAUGCAGCGCCCCCAGUCUAUCACUCCAAAGCAUGGCAUCCCGUCAAUCACAUCACCACCACUGUCCACAGGAUGGCAUCCAAAUGGCAACCCUGAGACGAUGUUGAUGGCGACAGCAAAUGGCGGCUUAGGCCACCACUUGCGAAGCCAUAGUUUGACUAGCUUGAGGGCUCAACAGUGUUACCCCCCUAAAAGUUACCAGAGUCCUAUGGAGUCGUCUGGCAUUCCAGGGU